Molecule: ribosomal RNA, 530 nt
Filed under: uncultured bacterium
Lineage: Bacteria
Description: bacterial SSU rRNA
Rfam family: Bacterial small subunit ribosomal RNA
Source: RNAcentral
AAUAGAUACCCGGGUAGUCCACGCCGUAAACGAUGAGUGCUAGGUGUUAGGGGGGUCCAACCCCUUAGUGCUGAAGUUAACACAUUAAGCACUCCGCCUGGGGAGUACGACCGCAAGGUUGAAACUCAAAGGAAUUGACGGGGGCCCGCACAAGCAGUGGAGCAUGUGGUUUAAUUCGAAGCAACGCGAAGAACCUUACCAGGUCUUGACAUCCUCUGACAACCCUAGAGAUAGGGCGUUCCCCUUCGGGGGACAGAGUGACAGGUGGUGCAUGGUUGUCGUCAGCUCGUGUCGUGAGAUGUUGGGUUAAGUCCCGCAACGAGCGCAACCCUUGAUGUUAGUUGCCAGCAUUCAGUUGGGCACUCUAACGUGACUGCCGGUGACAAACCGGAGGAAGGUGGGGAUGACGUCAAAUCAUCAUGCCCCUUAUGACCUGGGCUACACACGUGCUACAAUGGGCGGUACAAAGGGCAGCGAAACCGCGAGGUGGAGCCAAAUCCCAUAAAGCCGCUCUCAGUUCGGAUUGCAGG